This 94-nucleotide transfer RNA is filed under the name Microbispora rosea subsp. rosea. RNAcentral describes it as "tRNA-Arg". The record is from RNAcentral. Lineage: Bacteria; Bacillati; Actinomycetota; Actinomycetes; Streptosporangiales; Streptosporangiaceae.
GCGGCCCCGGUCGGCGAGGAAGACCGCGACCUUGCGGCGGUCGGCCGGGUCGUGCCCCCGGUAGACCACCGCGCGUUCAACCAGGCGGUCCACC